RNAcentral lists this ribosomal RNA (490 nucleotides) under uncultured bacterium. RNAcentral describes it as "partial 16S ribosomal RNA". It matches the Rfam family "Bacterial small subunit ribosomal RNA", at positions 30 to 507 of the family's 1533-position model. The record is from RNAcentral.
AUUGAACGCUGGCGGCAGGCCUAACACAUGCAAGUCGAACGGUAACAGGGAUCAGCUUGCUGAUUCGCUGACGAGUGGCGGACGGGUGAGUAAUGUCUGGGAAACUGCCUGAUCGAGGGGGAUAACUACUGGAAACGGUAGCUAAUACCGCAUAACGUCGCCAGACCAAAGAGGGGGACCUUAGGACCUCUCGCCAUCGGAUGUGCCCAGGUGGGAUUAGCUAGUAGGCGGGGUAAUGGCUCACCUAGGCGACGAUCCGUAGCUGGUCUGAGAGGAUGAUCAGCCACACUGGAACUGAGACACGGUCCAGACUCCUACGGGAGGCAGCAGUGGGGAAUAUUGGACAAUGGGCGCAAGCCUGAUGCAGCCAUGCCGCGUGGAUGAAGAAGGCCUUCGGGUUGUAAAGUCCUUUUAGUGGGGAAGAAGGGUGUAAGGUUAAUACCUUGGCAGAUUGACGGUACCCGAAGAAGAAGCACCGGCUAACUCCGUG